This is a long non-coding RNA of Sceloporus undulatus (fence lizard), 432 nucleotides long. RefSeq lists it as uncharacterized. The transcript is spliced from 2 exons. NCBI's taxonomy places the organism in Eukaryota, Metazoa, Chordata, Lepidosauria, Squamata, Phrynosomatidae. The record is from RefSeq and is a predicted model, not a curated record.
GAGUCAUGCAAGGGAAAGAGAGGAGCGGCCUCAGGUUCCUAGAGAGCCCCAAGGGAGCUGAGAGAAUACAGAGCUCCGAUUCCUAGAGGGUCCUCCAAAAGAGAGAGAGAAGAUUCAGAUUCCUAGAGAGUCUCCCAAGGGGAGAGAGAACGGAGAGCCCAGGUUCCUAGAGAGUCCCCAAAGAGGCCUUAGAGCCGAGGCUCAGAUUCCUAGGGAGUCCGCGAAGGAGGAGAGAGCAGAGAGGUCUGAGAUUCCUAGAGAGGCAGGGAAAGUGUUUGGAAAGGCCUGGUGUUUGUGGGAGAGAGAGAGAGAGAGGAGGAGGAAGGAGAACCGAGAGGCACAAAUGUUCCUGACUCUCUUACCUUCACAACAACCCAGUGAGGUAGGCACAAGAGAGAGACCAUGAAGACCACAGACUAACCUUAUGACCAU